GACGAACGCUGGCGGCGUGCUUAACACAUGCAAGUCGAACGAAGUCGCGCACGUGUGAGUAACGCGUAUUCAACCUGCCCUUCAGAGGGGUCCAACUUGUGGAAACGACUGCUAAUACCGAAUACUGACUGAGGUGAUUGCGUCUGAUUAGCUAGUUGGAGGGGUAACGGCCCACCAAGGCGAUGAUAAGUAGCCGGUAUGAGAGGAUGAACGGCCACAUUGGGACGGAGACACGCCCAAGACGCAUACGGGAGGCAGCAGUGGGGAAUCUUCCGCAAUGGACGAAAGUCUGACGGAGCAACGCCGCGUGAGUGAUGACGGCCUUCGGGUUGUAAAGCUCUGUUAUUCGGGACGCGGUACCGGAAUAGAAAGCCACGGCUAACUACGUGCCAGCCGCCGCGGUAAUUC
This 408-nucleotide ribosomal RNA is filed under the name uncultured bacterium. Its description in RNAcentral is "partial 16S ribosomal RNA". It matches the Rfam family "Bacterial small subunit ribosomal RNA", at positions 28 to 526 of the family's 1533-position model. The record is from RNAcentral.